AUGACAGAAAUGACCUGAAAUCAUAUUUACCCUGUUAAAAAAAUAAUAAAAGAAGUGGAGAAAAUCCAGUCUGAAAAGCUGAAUGAUGAUUUUUUCCCCCUAUAUUUUUGUGGGGAAAAGAAAUUAACAAAUUUUGACUAAACAAGAAGGUAUCGCACACCAUCAUCUUCAGUUUUUUCACAUGCAUUAAGGUUCAUUAGCAUGCACACACUUAACACAUGCUGGAUAAGCAUGCACAGACAUGCACCCAUGCAUAUGAAACGAACAAGCAUUCUGAGGCACGCAAGUCCAUGUGUGCCAACAUUUUAAUAGUGCAGCAUGUUUGUAGUGUAUAACACAACGUCUAUGAUUUGUAUUAUAUAAGAAUUACAAAAUUCUUAGUGGAGAGU
This 389-nucleotide unclassified non-coding RNA is filed under the name Hevea brasiliensis (rubber tree). The record is from RNAcentral. Lineage: Eukaryota; Viridiplantae; Streptophyta; Magnoliopsida; Malpighiales; Euphorbiaceae.